AAUAACAAUACAAGGCAGUUAAAAUGCUUUGUAAUUGGAAUGAUAGAAAUUUAAACACUUUUUAAAGUAUCAAUUGGAGGGCAAGUCUGGUGCCAGCAGCCGCGGUAAUUCCAGCUCCAAUAGCGUAUAUUAAAAUUGUUGCAGUUAAAAAGCUCGUAGUUGAAUUUCUGUUAAAAAUAACCGGUCUGCUUUUAAUAAAAGUGGUAUCUUGGUGUGUUUUUAGCAAUAAUGUCCUUUGAAAUGUUUUUUACUUUAUUGUAAUAAAUAAUAUUCAGGAUUUUUACUUUGAGAAAAUUAGAGUGUUUCUAGCAGGCUAACGCUUUGAAUACUGCAGCAUGGAAUAAUAAAAUAGGAUUUUAGUUCUACAUUAUUGGUUUUAAGAACUAAAUUAAUGAUUGAUAGGGACAGUUGGGGGCAUUUGUAUUUAACUGUCAGAGGUGAAAUUCUUAGAUUUGUUAAAGACAAACUACUGCGAAAGCAUUUGCCAAAGAUGUUUUCAUUAAUCAAGAACGAAAGUUAGGGGAUCGAAGACGAUCAGAUACCGUCGUAGUCUUAACUAUAAACUAUGCCGACUAGAGAU
Molecule: ribosomal RNA, 580 nt
Filed under: Hepatozoon felis
Lineage: Eukaryota; Apicomplexa; Hepatozoidae
Description: SSU rRNA
Rfam family: Eukaryotic small subunit ribosomal RNA
Source: RNAcentral